Molecule: ribosomal RNA, 695 nt
Filed under: uncultured bacterium
Lineage: Bacteria
Description: bacterial SSU rRNA
Rfam family: Bacterial small subunit ribosomal RNA
Source: RNAcentral
GUAGAUAUGCGGAGGAACACCAGUGGCGAAGGCGGCUCGCUGGGUCACAACUGACGCUGAGACGCGAAAGCAUGGGGAGCGAACGGGAUUAGAAACCCCGGUAGUCCAUGCCGUAAACGAUGUGCACUAGACGUUCGUGCGGCUACGGUCGUGUGAGUGUCGCAGCUAACGCGAUAAGUGCACCGCCUGGGGAGUACGGUCGCAAGGCUAAAACUCAAAGGAAUUGACGGGGGCCCGCACAAGCAGCGGAGCGUGUGGUUUAAUUCGAGGCUACGCGAAGAACCUUACCCGGGCUUGACAUCCCGCGCAAUCCUGUGAAAGCAGGAGUUCCUUCGGGACGCGGAGACAGGUGCUGCAUGGCUGUCGUCAGCUCGUGUCGUGAGAUGUUCGGUUAAGUCCGAAAACGAGCGCAACCCUUAUUGCUAGUUACAAGUGUCUAGCGAGACUGCCCGCGGCAAGCGGGAGGAAGGUGGGGAUGACGUCAAGUCAGCAUGGCCUUUAUGUCCGGGGCUACACACACGCUACAAUGGCACAUACAAUGGGUCGCGAAACCGCGAGGUGGAGCCAAUCCCGCAAAGUGUGUCGUAGUUCGGAUUGCAGGCUGCAACUCGCCUGCAUGAAGUCGGAGUUGCUAGUAACCGCGUAUCAGCACGGCGCGGUGAAUACGUUCCCGGGCCUUGCACUCACCGCCCGUC